This is a ribosomal RNA of Ochotona princeps (American pika), 105 nucleotides long. NCBI's taxonomy places the organism in Eukaryota, Metazoa, Chordata, Mammalia, Lagomorpha, Ochotonidae. The record is from Ensembl.
GUCUACGGCCAUACCACCCUGAACGCACCCGAUCUCGUCUGAUCUCGGAAAUUUAAAAGUGAAAAACACAAAGUUUCUAUUAGAGAAUCAUUGCUUCCUUUAACA